GGGUUGUGAGGUUAAGCGACUAAGCGUACACGGUGGAUGCCCUGGCAGUCAGAGGCGAUGAAGGACGUGCUAAUCUGCGAAAAGCGCCGGCGAGGUGAUAUGAACCCUUGACCCGGCGAUGUCCGAAUGGGGAAACCCAGUGCAAUCCGUUGCACUAUCGUUAACUGAAUACAUAGGUUAACGAGGCGAACCGGGGGAACUGAAACAUCUAAGUACCCCGAGGAAAAGAAAUCAACCGAGAUUCCCCCAGUAGCGGCGAGCGAACGGGGAGCAGCCCGGAGUCUGAAUCAGCUUGUGUGUUAGUGGAACGGUCUGGAAAGUCCGACGGUACAGGGUGAUAGUCCCGUACACGAAAGCACACUUGCUGUGAACUCGAAGAGUAGGGCGGGACACGUGGUAUCCUGUCUGAAUAUGGGGGGACCAUCCUCCAAGGCUAAAUACUCCUGACUGACCGAUAGUGAACCAGUACCGUGAGGGAAAGGCGAAAAGAACCCCGGCGAGGGGAGUGAAAAAGAACCUGAAACCGUGUACGUACAAGCAGUGGGAGCCUCUUUAUGGGGUGACUGCGUACCUUUUGUAUAAUGGGUCAGCGACUUAUAUUCUGUAGCAAGGUUAACCGUAUAGGGGAGCCGAAGGGAAACCGAGUCUUAACUGGGCGUUAAGUUGCAGGGUAUAGACCCGAAACCCGGUGAUCUAGCCAUGGGCAGGUUGAAGGUUGGGUAACACUAACUGGAGGACCGAACCGACUAAUGUUGAAAAAUUAGCGGAUGACCUGUGGCUGGGGGUGAAAGGCCAAUCAAACCGGGAGAUAGCUGGUUCUCCCCGAAAGCUAUUUAGGUAGCGCCUCGUGAACUCAUCUUCGGGGGUAGAGCACUGUUUCGGCUAGGGGGCCAUCCCGGCUUACCAACCCGAUGCAAACUACGAAUACCGAAGAAUGUUAUCACGGGAGACACACGGCGGGUGCUAACGUCCGUCGUGAAGAGGGAAACAACCCAGACCGCCAGCUAAGGUCCCAAAGUCAUGGUUAAGUGGGAAACGAUGUGGGAAGGCACAGACAGCCAGGAUGUUGGCUUAGAAGCAGCCAUCAUUUAAAGAAAGCGUAAUAGCUCACUGGUCGAGUCGGCCUGCGCGGAAGAUGUAACGGGGCUAAACCAUGCACCGAAGCUGCGGCAGCGACACUAUGUGUUGUUGGGUAGGGGAGCGUUCUGUAAGCCGUUGAAGGUGUGCUGUGAGGCAUGCUGGAGGUAUCAGAAGUGCGAAUGCUGACAUAAGUAACGAUAAAGCGGGUGAAAAGCCCGCUCGCCGGAAGACCAAGGGUUCCUGUCCAACGUUAAUCGGGGCAGGGUGAGUCGACCCCUAAGGCGAGGCCGAAAGGCGUAGUCGAUGGGAAACAGGUUAAUAUUCCUGUACUUGGUGUUACUGCGAAGGGGGGACGGAGAAGGCUAUGUCAGCCGGGCGACGGUUGUCCCGGUUUAAGCAUGUAGGCGGAGGUUCCAGGUAAAUCCGGUACCUU
This 1513-nucleotide ribosomal RNA is filed under the name Enterobacter hormaechei. RNAcentral's name for it is "partial 23S ribosomal RNA". It matches the Rfam family "Bacterial large subunit ribosomal RNA", at positions 1 to 1551 of the family's 2925-position model. Lineage: Bacteria; Pseudomonadati; Pseudomonadota; Gammaproteobacteria; Enterobacterales; Enterobacteriaceae. The record is from RNAcentral.